Molecule: ribosomal RNA, 484 nt
Filed under: uncultured bacterium
Lineage: Bacteria
Description: partial 16S ribosomal RNA
Rfam family: Bacterial small subunit ribosomal RNA
Source: RNAcentral
ACUGAACGCUGGCGGCAGGCCUAACACAUGCAAGUCGAGCGGAUGAAGGGAGCUUGCUCCUGGAUUCAGCGGCGGACGGGAGAGUAAUGCCUAGGAAUCUGCCUGGUAGUCGGGGAUACCGCCGGGACACGGGCCCUACUACUGCAUACGACCUGAGGUACAAAGUGGGGGACCUUGGGACCUCACGCUUUCAGAUGAGCCUAGGUCGGAUUCCCUAGUUGGUGGGGGAAAGGCCUACCAGGGCGACGAUCCGUAACUGGUCUGAGAGGAUGAUCAGUCACACUGGAACUGAGACACGGUCCAGACUACUACGGGAGGCAACGGUGGGGAAUAGUGGACAAUGGGCGAAGACCUGAUCCAACCAUGGCGCGUGUGGGAAGAAGGUCUUCGGAUUGUAAAGCACUUUAAGUUGGGAGGAAGGGCAGUAAGUUAAUACCUUGCUGUUUUGACGUUACCAACAGAAUAAGCACCGGCUAACUUCGUG